UUUCCGUAGGUGAACCUGCGGAAGGAUCAUUCAUAAUAAGUGUUUUAUUGCACUUUUUUAAAUCCAUAUCCACCUUGUGUGCAAUGUCAGGGUUGAUUUUUCUCUCGAGAGGAUAAACCCCAAACAUCAACUAUAUCUCAACUCUUUGUCUGAAAAAUAUUAUGAAUAAAACAAUUCAAAAUACAACUUUCAACAACGGAUCUCUUGGCUCUC
Molecule: unclassified non-coding RNA, 213 nt
Filed under: plant metagenome
Description: partial contains small subunit ribosomal RNA, internal transcribed spacer 1, and 5.8S ribosomal RNA
Source: RNAcentral